This 426-nucleotide ribosomal RNA is filed under the name uncultured eukaryote. Its description in RNAcentral is "SSU rRNA". It matches the Rfam family "Eukaryotic small subunit ribosomal RNA", at positions 592 to 1016 of the family's 1831-position model. The record is from RNAcentral.
CAAUAGCGUAUAUUAAAGUUGCUGCAGUUAAAAGCUCGUAGUUGGAUCUCGGGUGCAGGCUUGCGGUCCGCCUCGCGGCGGUCACUGCUCGCCCUGACCUCCAGGCCGGUGUCACCGUCCCUUGGUGCUCUUGAUUGAGUGUCUCGGGCGGCCGGUACGUUUACUUUGAAGAAAUUAGAGUGCUCAAAGCAGGCCCUUGCCGCCUGAAUAAUGGUGCAUGGAAUAAUGGAAUAGGACCUCGGUUCUAUUUUGUUGGCUCUCGGAGCUCGAGGUAAUGAUUAAUAGGGACUGACGGGGCAUUGCGUAUUGCGGCGCUAGAGGUGAAAUUCUUGGACCGUCGCAAGACGAACUACAGCGAAAGCAUUUGCCAAGCAUGUUUUCAUUAAUCAAGAACGAAAGUCAGAGGUUCGAAGACGAUCAGAUACC